RNAcentral lists this long non-coding RNA (1666 nucleotides) under Salmo salar (Atlantic salmon). RNAcentral describes it as "lncRNA (ENSSSAG00000120913.1)". Lineage: Eukaryota; Metazoa; Chordata; Actinopteri; Salmoniformes; Salmonidae. The record is from RNAcentral.
UAGUAGGUGGAGCGCAGCACAGCAUAAGACCAACAGACGUCCUAAUAAUAUGUAGUCUGCUGACACUGCAUGCCUGUAAACAGCAGAGAUGAAGGAGCUAUGGAUUAUGGCUGUCUUUGCUACAGUCUCUUUAUCACAGGGGAAUCUCACGACAUCCUCUGCCAUUCCAACCACCAUUGACAUAACUACCCCAACUACUACUGCUCCUAUAACCCCUGACCCUCCAACUACUACUGCUCCUAUAACCCCUGACCCUCCAACUACUACUGCCCCUAUAACCCCUGACCCUCCAACUACUACUGCCCCUAUAACCCCUGACCCUCCAACUACUACUGCCCCUAUAACCCCUGACCCUCCAACUACUACUGCUCCUAUAACCCCGGUCACUCCAACUACUACUGCCCCUAUAACCCCUGACACUCCAACUACUACUGCCCCUAUAACCCCUGACACUCCAACUACUACUGCCCCUAUAACCCCUGACACUCCAACUACUACUGCCCCUAUAACCCCUGACACUCCAACUACUACUGCCCCUAUAACCCCUGACCCUCCAACUACUACUGCCCCUAUAACCCCUGACACUCCAACUACUACUGCCCCUAUAACCCUUAACACUCCAACUACUACUGCCCCUAUAACCCCUGACACUCCAACUACUACUGCCCCUAUAACCCCUGACCCUCCAACUACUACUGCUCCUAUAACCCCUGACACUCCAACUACUACUGCUCCUAUAACCCCUGACACUCCAACUACUACUGCUCCUAUAACCCCUGACCCUCCAACUACUACUGCCCCUAUAACCCCUGACCCUCCAACUACUACUGCUCCUAUAACCCCUGACCCUCCAACUACUACUGCCCCUAUAACGCCUGACACUCCAACUACUACUGCUCCUAUAACCCCUGACACUCCAACUACUACUGCCCCUAUAACCCCUGACACUCCAACUACUACUGCCCCUAUAACCCCCGACACUCCAACUACUACUGCCCUUAUAACCCCUGACACUCCAACUACUACUGCCCCUAUAACCCCUGACACUCCAACUACUACUGCUCCUAUAACCCUUAACACUCCAACUACUACUGCCUCUAUAACCCCUGACCCUCCAACUACUAUUGCUCCUAUAACCCCUGACACUCCAACUACUACUGCCCCUAUAACCACCGACACUCCAACUACUACUGCCCCUAUAACCCCUGACCCUCCAACUACUACUGCCCCUAUAACCCCCGACACUCCAACUACUACUGUCCCUAUAACCCCUGACACUCCAACUACUACUGCUCCUAUAACCCUUAACACUCCAACUACUACUGCCUCUAUAACCCCUGACACUCCAACUACUACUGCCCCUAUAACCCCUGACCCUCCAACUACUACUGCUCCUAUAACCCCUGACACUCCAACUACUACUGCCCCUAUAACCCCCGACACUCCAACUACUACUGCCCCUAUAACCCCUGACCCUCCAACUACUACUGCCUCUAUAACCCCUGACACUCCAACUACUACUGCCUCUAUAACCCCUGACCCUCCAACUACUACUGCCCCUAUAACCCCUGACCCUCCAACUACUACUGCUCCUAUAACCCCUGACACUCCAACUACUACUGCCCCUAUAACCCCUGACCCUCCAACUACUACUGCCCCUAUAACC